Molecule: long non-coding RNA, 993 nt
Filed under: Rattus norvegicus (Norway rat)
Lineage: Eukaryota; Metazoa; Chordata; Mammalia; Rodentia; Muridae
Description: long non-coding RNA NONRATT012212
Source: RNAcentral
UUUAUUUUUUUUGUCAAGAAAUUUAUUAACCUUUACAAACACUAUUUCACACAAUCAUUCAUUAAAAAAGUUUUACAAUGAAGUCUGUAAUAAAACCAUGUAACGUUCACCAAUGCAUUCCAGCCCGUCACACCCAUGGAGUAUAACAAACCACUUUAAAACAGCAGUUUUCGUUCUCUCCAGGUAAGGGUGUUGUACUGAUACUGAAGUCUUCCUGUAACAAGCUGUCAUUCAAGAGAGCCACUUUAUGUCACCGUGUGUGGCACACUGGUGUACCCCAGAGUAGACAUGGUCAUCUUUGCAGUCUCUUUCAAACCAGUUUCACAACAGGAAAGUAUUUGUGAACAGAGAAAUCAAAUUCAGGAGGAACCUAAAAGCAAAGCCAGAAAGUCAGUGAAUGCAUGUUUGCCGCAGUGUACAUGACUACUGCAGACUUCGUGUUUCAGAAACAGGAACUGCUCGUCUAAGUAACGACAGCAGCAGUCAGAGGGAAGGAAACAAGGACGGACCGAGUCUCUCCUCUUAAAAGAGGUCAUCAGAAAACACCCAGGCCAGUUGUCUGUUCAGAGAAAGUUAAAGGAAAAUGGACUCUGGACAAGGUGCUCAGACAGAUCAGGAAGGCAACACAGGUCAGCUUGAGGCUAACAAGUGAGGCCAUCAUAACAGGCAGAUGCCACAAAGCUGCAAACUGCAUCAGAGCUGCCUGUGACGACCAGACCGUCCAUAUCAGUGCUACAUGGUAUCAGUGUUUGCGUCUCAGAACUGGGGAACUGACUGGGUUGGCUCCGGGUUUGUGGUGCAAGCUGUGCGAGCAUGAGAACCCAAGGCCUGACUCCCGGCACCUGCAUUAAAAGCUGAGCAGUGAUGUACGUGGGAGUGGGAGGGAAAGAAAGAAGAAAUUUUAAGUCUCAAACGUCUGGAGGAAACGUGGUGGCCGAGCCUCUUACGGUGACUUUGUUGUGACAGCACACAGGAACUCUGCACUCCCUUUCC